Molecule: transfer RNA, 72 nt
Filed under: Trametes coccinea
Lineage: Eukaryota; Fungi; Basidiomycota; Agaricomycetes; Polyporales; Polyporaceae
Also listed under: 5 other names
Description: tRNA-Met
Rfam family: tRNA
About the family: Transfer RNA (tRNA) molecules are approximately 80 nucleotides in length. Their secondary structure includes four short double-helical elements and three loops (D, anti-codon, and T loops).
Source: RNAcentral
GCUGAAAUAGUUUAAAGGUUAAAACCUACCAUUCAUGACGGUAAGAUAAAAGUUCAAUUCUUUUUUUCAGCU